CAAGAAAAGAACACUUUAUUGAGUGUAGCUCUUGAUACUUCAGGGUUUCCAGGGAUAGAAGGAGUAUACUUGGAUAAAACAGGAAGCAUCCCUGUAAGAAUUCCUCUGAAUUAUCUUCUCAUGCCAAGAUUAUACAGAAUGCUCAUUUCUUUCAAGCCUCAGCCCAGACACCAACUACUGGAAGAUGUCUUUCCACUUCUCCAGCUAGAACUUGAGACUCAAGAGGAAGGAAGAUAACAAAAAGGUGAGCAAGAACAAUUUAUGUCUUUUGGUGGUGACAAUAUCUUUCAACUCACUACACAAUGAGAAGCUACAAAGGUCUUUGAGGAAGUAUUGAAGCAUGGUGAACAUACCCAUUUGUAAUUGGAAGAUUAAAUGAUCCCUUUAUUCAAAAG
This 395-nucleotide long non-coding RNA is filed under the name Monodelphis domestica (gray short-tailed opossum). RNAcentral's name for it is "lncRNA (ENSMODG00000047768.1)". Lineage: Eukaryota; Metazoa; Chordata; Mammalia; Didelphimorphia; Didelphidae. The record is from RNAcentral.